Molecule: long non-coding RNA, 6757 nt
Filed under: Selaginella moellendorffii
Lineage: Eukaryota; Viridiplantae; Streptophyta; Lycopodiopsida; Selaginellales; Selaginellaceae
Description: long non-coding RNA (SMOE_LNC001942)
Source: RNAcentral
GAGUAUGGAUCGGGAGACGCGCAGCUCAAUCUCGCGAAUGGGAUUCCCAGGUAGUGCAGGCAAAAUGUGGCCGAAAUUUCCAGCGGCUCAGUAGUGAUUGAGUGAGUGAUGGUUCCUUUGCGCAGAUUCUACCUCAUGGAGCUCAAGAAAACGGGGCUGCGAUUCAAAAGGAUAACGCAUCACGCCAGGGUCACGCAGUGUCUGGGAUCAGUGGGAGCUCAUCCUUGGUACAUGGCGGUCUCUCUUCCCAGCAUUGUGGAUCCUUCAUCGUAACACGAGGGCGCUGUUCGAUCCAACGCUGGUGGCCACUACUAUUUACCUCCCUCUCAUGCAAGCGUCCAGGUUUUCAAGAUAGAUGGUCCUCGCUUCAUCAAGCUAAACGAAGGAACUUGGCACGCUGGUCCUCUCUUCGAUGAUCGAGAUUCGAUGGUCUUCUACAACUUGGAGCUCAGUGACACCAACGUAAGAUCAUUUGAUCGAGCUUGUAGUUACCAUGACUUAUGUUUUCUCCUUUUUCUUGUUGCAGGUUGUGGAUCACACUACCCACGUGUUUGAGGACGACGUACUGAUCGAAGAUUGAGGUACAGAGCCUUGGCAUUUCAUGUGAUAUUCGAACGUGAUUUUUGUGCUAGGUGAUGGCGAGCUUAAACACUUUUUUGCGUGUCUAGAAAAGCAAAUGGUGGAAAUGAAACAAGUUCUUUGCGAGCUAAGAAUUUCAUGUCCCUUGCCAUCAAGUUGUCGAGGAGCUCCUUUUGUGCCUCGGGACAUUGACUAGUAGUUACAAAAGGAGGCUGAUGAUCCUGGUCGGAAGAAAAUUUACGAACGGGAUGACUCCCACAGACCAUGGCGUCAACUCCCUGGUAUAAAUCUUUCUUAAUUGAACUGUAACACUGUUAGAAUUCUGUGCAGGGUGCUGAUUAUGGUCGAAAGCCGCCUGCUUUCUGUCGAACACGAGCGAGCGGAUGUUGAGAGUAUUCAUGUAAUUUGCCUCCUGCCAGUCCAGCUCGCUACUUCCGCCAAGAACUCGGGUUCCCUCAGUCAACAGCAAGAUGGAAAUGUUCCAGAAGUCUUUCUUCUUGAUGUCGGUCACAAACUCGAGCGGUGGAUGAUAUCCUUUGAAAGGUUUUGCUGCUCCUGAAACUUCUUGUAUUUCACCUCUUCGUGGUUCUGAUUCUAAUAAUGUAACUUUCGUGACAGCGGAAAAGUACGAACUCUAUGCUUGGAAAGUUUCAAAACAGCGUAGUGGUGACCACAAUUUCAGAAAGGAGAUCUUCUAUGAAGUAAAGGAAGCUUUAUUUUUCAUGUUGAUUCAUGUUUUCUUUCCUAUUUAGCGUUCUGUUAGUGAAUUACAAUUGCGUAAGCGAAGUUGCUGCGAGUUCGGAUCUCCUAUGAAGUAAGCUUCUUCUUCUUUGGAUGUUGAUUGAUUUUUUUCUUUCUUUUUUUAGAGUUUACGUGAGCAAGUUGCUGAAACUGAAUUUGUAUUUUCUUCUUUACAGCAUGACACAUUCGAGGUAUGAUUUUUGGUUUUUUUUUGGAAAAGGUGAAGCUACAGCCUAUGUAAGUUCAAUAGGGCGCUGUUGACGAGCUCCUCGAGGCUUCUGGAAUGCUUGGUAAGUCCCACAAAACCCGAAAACGUUAAGAAGUUUUCUUCGUCUGAGGCAGUCGCUGACAUUGCUUCCAGGGACGCCUCCAUUUCACCGUCUUCUCUAAAACGUCGCAAGAACCUGGCGUCCUUUGCCAUCAAGCUGUUCAGAAGCUCUACGCUAUAUCGCCGGAUACGAUUCAAGCUCCUAGAAGGUGCUGUCUGGGAUAGAAGCUCUGUGAUUUUUUCGCAAAGCCGUGAUUGUUGCGAUAGCACGCCUUGUUCAAAGUUACGUGUGUCGAGCCAGGGGAUUAUGGCUGCUGCCAAACCGAUGGCUGCCUGCUGUUCCUUGUCUGUGGAUUCCAGCACCAUCUGGAGGAUGGGAGAUAUGGCUGCUCCAAGCUCCAACUUUUCUUCGUCGUUAAGCUCACCGCACAAGCUUCGCAAAAUUGUGGCUGCAUGGACUCCAAUUGGCUUGGUGAGCAUGUUGAUCAAGCUCUUGAGGGUCUUGCUAACGCCACCUUGGCUGUAGCUUUUGCGCCUGAGGAGCCUCGAGCAAUUGUUGGGACACUGGAGGACGAGCAAAAAUAUGGCUUCCCCGGCUCUCAUGGCGAUGCUCAACUGGUGGCUGUUCGGUGCGGUUUCUCUCGCAAAUAUGGCCAUCAAGCUUUGGAUAACUCCUCCAGUUGCACCAAUGCAAUCUCUAAGCUCGUCCUCGGUUGCUAACAGCUUGAUCACGUCUACUGCCAGGUCCUGUAGCUCCAAAUCUUCGAGAUUGCAUAUCCUUUGAAGACUUCUUACUGCUGACACUACCGACACUAUCUUCUUUCGCAGAGACCGUCCAGAAUCUCCUCCCGCGCCAGCCAAUGUCCUCAAAAGCUCGAGUGAUCGACGGAAUACUUUUCUCGACGUUCGUACUUCGAGGAAGUUCCAGUCUUCGUCUUGGAUAAACGCAACCAGGAUGGAGAUAAGUCCGCUGGUGUUACCGAUUCGCACGCAUGUCCUGUGGUCCACGGCUAGCCUGUUGAGGAUAGCGAGUCCGUAUCUCUGUUCUUCUGGCACUAUCUUCUCUCCUGCGGUUAAAAGGGAAAUGAUGGCUUCCAGGGAUCCAGGGAUAGCGGAAAUCCUGAAGCAGUUACUCCGGUGACGAAGCAGGUACUUGAUUACUAUCGUUGCAGCUUUCCUGAUUUCGGCCUCACUAAGAUCCUUCCAGGUGAUCAUCUCUAAGAGUCUCUCCACAACUCCACAACUACACAGGAGGAAGAAAGAAAAGGUAGAGAAGAAAGUGAAGAAGAAUCAAUGAAGAAGACGAAGAAAGGAGCUAAUUACUUCUGUCCGUGAAGAUGAGUGGAGAGAGCAACUUCAAAGAGCUAAAACUUUCACACGACAAACGGUCAGACGAGAAACUGGAGCACUAGUGCUGCGAUUCCAGAUUGAUCAAUGUUGUUUGACAACAAUGAUCUGACACACACAAGACUGUUUUCUUCGUCUCGGUAGCGCCCUUUCUACUGUUGCACAACAAACUAUUGCACAGCCGUGGAAGGGAAUAAUAGUAUAUAGAAACCUGUUGUAUCUCGUACUCUUGCUCUAUAAAUUCUCCAUAAACUUAAAGCUUCUUCUUCCAGGCCUAGAGAAAAGUCGGCUUCAAACACACGGCAUGGCCAUCUUUUUGUGUGUACUGUGCAGAACUCUCCCUUUCAACCAGGUCUUAUAGUUUGCCACUUACUAAGCUUAGGUGGUGGGAAAGAAAAAACUGGAGUAGUGAUGUUUCUAUCUUAUACUUAAGAACCUUGUGUUGGCUCGAGGAGUAGUACUACGAAGUGGUGUAACAAACGCAAAGCUUGGACAGGGCAGAUUGCUACUGAACACUAUUGCCAUUGCCACAAGCCUCAAAUUUGCAGGGCAAACUUUCUUUUCCUUCUUGUGAAUAUUACAAUUUUCUUUCAUUGUGCAAGAUAAAAAUUAAUUUAUACCUCCAAAUAUAUAGAUAUUUAUAUAUAAAAAACUUUUUAAUACAACUAAUUCAAUUACACAAAAUCUUUGUUUGCUUUUUUUGAUGACAUGCAUCAUAAACAUGCCCCUAAUUGAUCUUGUUGUACUCAUUAUCACCAUUUAAAUAAAUGAAUAUCAAAUCAUUUAAAGUUUCAAUAUUUAAAUAGCAUUUUGAAGUAGUUUUUAACUGAUUUUGAUAAGAAAAUCCACCUUCAGCACAAGUAGUGCUCACAGGUAUCAAAGAGAUAAUUUUGCAUAAUUCUAUCAAAUUAAAACAUAUAUCUAUCAUGGAAAUAUCAUCUCUGCAUAUUUGCCAAGCGACUAGCUUAUUUUUUGUCAACAGAUUACUUUGCAUAAUAGUUACAAACUUUGUGAAUUCUCCUUUACAUUUUUCCCCAUCAACAAAAGCACCAUACUAGUUCAGUAAAAUAUUUAGCCAUUUGUAAAAGUUGUUAUCCAAUUUUUCCUUAUUUGAAUAAUUCUUUGGGCUAAACAGUUUUGUAACAUUGAAUAUGCCUAUAUCUUUUCCCAUUCUAGCUAACAUAUCAAUGUAUAGUUUUUGAACGCAGUCCUUAUUUAAAUUUAAGUAAGAGCUUAAGCUCCCAUCUCCUUUGCUCUCUAGAAUAAAAGUAUAAUUUAAGACAUGCUUAUGUUAUUCCUUUUCAGCAUUUAUAAACUUGAUAAAUUCAUCUUUAGUAACCUCCACAAAAUUACUCAAGUGUUUCACACUAAGAGUCUCUUUCAGAAAUUUUCUUUUGAUACUUUUCAAAGUACCAUAUAAUUACCCAACAAUGCUAGCAAUAUCCACAGUUUCAACUUUAAAAGAUUUUGUUCAAACUAUUUAAUUCCAGAAGUAUAUUAGGUAGCAUAUGAAUAAAUGAUCAAUCUUUUUAAAACUUCCCCAUGAAAUAAUCAACGUACACUGUGGAUUUGAAGCAUACCUAAUGUAAAUAUAUUUAUAGCAUCUUCUAGAGGCCUAAAAGCCAUGACUCUUUUUCUAAAAGUAUGCAACCAUUUAUAAAUUUGAUUGCAUAGCUUUUGAACAAUCAUAAGUUUAAAAAAUGCAUGCACAACUUCAAUAGCCACUAAACUUUAUUUAUGUGUUAAGUAAUGCACUCCAAGCAAGUGUGGAAUGUUAUGUUUCAAUAUUGUCACUAGACCAAAUUAUUCUCCAACCAUAAUAAAAGCUCCAUCAAUUUCAAUAACAACACAUUUUCCCUUUUUAAAGUUCAUUUCUUCCAAAACCUUUUUGAUGGCUUUAUAUUUAUUUACAACCUUUAGUUACCAUCAAUUUGAAAAAGUAAGUUUUAUUCAGACUUUUUUCUUUUUCUUGCAUAUGGAAAGAGAUGUAUAUGAUAAGAUGAGAUUCCAAACUUUUAUCAGUAUUGUUAUCCACCAUAAUAGAAAAGUAAGGACUAGCUCAAAUAUUUUGGCAAACAUCUUUCCAUCACAUAUCUUUUUUGCAUUUUACAAACUUUUUUCCACUCAUAGCAUUCAUAUAAGCCUUAUACUCUAUGGUGAUUGGCAUAUAGGGCAUUUCUAUAAACCUAUUAAAUUCACACAAAGAUUUAUAGCUUUGUAAAGGUAAUCCUUUAUUCACAAUGAAGUACAUGUGUUGCAUUAAGGAAAUCAAUUUAUUUUUGUGUUGAUCUUUUUGAGCAGUAAUAUAUUUAAGGAUAGAUAACCCUUUCUUUUUUCUUUACUUCCCAAAUAACUAUAGCUAAUUGAUGUUAUUUGGAAUUAUUAUGCUAUUUUAAAAUUGGUUUUUGAAAAGUCAAAGAACCAUCCUUACCAAAAAAAUUAUCCUUUUUAGCAUAUACAUAUAUUAUACAUUUUAUUUUUUAAUUGCCUUCAACAUCUAUCACAAGAUACACCCAAGGAAAACUAAGUUUCCACUCAAUUCUGAAUGUUUUAUUCUUUUCCUCUUUUUAUUGGUUGUAAUAUUAGUUUCUUCUUCUGUUGUUGAAAAAUCUUCAUCCUCUGAUCUAAUUUUAAAUCCUUCACCAAAAAGAGAAUUAUAAAGCUUUUGCCUUGCAAUAUUUUGUUAAUUUAUAUUUUUUUUUUUCCCUCUCAUAGGCAAUAGCAAAAAAUGCUUCAAUCCUAUGUUGUUGCUGUCACUAUCGCUGCUUUCCCAUUUGCCCUAGUCCUAAUCCAUGUCAACUUCAUUGAAUUCAGGUGGUUAGACAUCAGGAUAUUUUCACAAUAUUCUUAAUAAUAUUAGAUAGAAUAUUAUCUAUACUGCAAUGUACGAAUUUUCUUUGCCCUGCAAGUGGCAACUAAAAUAUUUCUAUACUUCAUUAGUACAAAGUGAAAAUUGAACAUUUCUUUCAAAUAGCAAGGCAAAUUAGAAAUCAGUCUUCAAAUGCAAGGUAAACAUGCCUUUGCAGGGCUUUGCAGGGCUUUGUAGGGUGGAAAUUUGAGGCCUACAUUGUCUCCCUAAAUGUGAUUUGGGUGCCAUAGUUCUAAAGAGAUUGUUGCUAUAGAAGAGCUUACAAGGAUGUUGAGAUAUUGCUGUAAGUUCCUUCAUGCACUUCACAGUGAUAGUAAAUGCCUUGUGAUGGCAUCUUAAACUCGUACCAUGGCAUCUGCAUUGCCAGUUCAAAGAUUAAAUGGCCCACAACCAAGAACAAAGUGAAGAAAAUGAGAAAACUCUAAGAAUGUUGCUGUCCCCUUAAGUUUCUCUGGCCAUAAAUUCGCUGCUACAAUAGCUUAUGUCCUUUCUACGCUUUAAGUUUCAGUGCCCGUAGCGGAUAGAUGUCGUUUGGACACUGUUGACCACAAUUGACUAUCGUUGACCAAUGGACCGUUGACUUGGCUGACUAUGCUGGGUUCGAUUCCUGCGCUGGGCGAUAUUGCCAGGGCUAGGGUUCUUCGAUGGGGCUCAAGCUGCGAGCAGUGCCGAUCACGGAGGAUAAUUUCCGGCCUUGGCCAGCUCCUGGGAAAGAUCGGCGACGGAUGCGAGUAUGGAUCGGGAGACGCGCAGCUCAAUCUCGCGAAUGGGAUUCCCAGGUAGUGCAGGCAAAAUGUGGCCGAAAUUUCCAGCGGCUCGGUAGUGAUUGAGUGAGUGAUGUUUCCUUUGCGCAGAUUCUACCUCAUGGAGCUCAAGAAAACGGGGCUGCGAUUCAAAAGGAUAACGCAUCACGCCAGGGUGACGCAGUGUCAAGCUAAACGAAGGAACUUGGC